This 778-nucleotide long non-coding RNA is filed under the name Mytilus galloprovincialis (Mediterranean mussel). Lineage: Eukaryota; Metazoa; Mollusca; Bivalvia; Mytilida; Mytilidae. The record is from RNAcentral.
UGCAUUUCUUCUGUUGAGCUAUAACUUAAAAAAGUAAAAAAAGUACAUGAUCACAUAUGAAAACUUCUAAUAACAUUAAUUAUAAAUAAGAAGAUGUGGUAUGAUUGCCAAUGAGACAACUCUCAUUAGAUUGCCUCAUAGGCCUAUUGAAUAUGAAUGAAAUAUUUGCCACUGGAAAUUUAGCAUGCACCAAUUCAUUGACAAAACAUCAAAACAUUGAGACUUUUUGUUUUUCUUUCUUUUUUUCUGCUACUAAAUUAUUCUUGUAUGCUAAUUGUAUAAGGCCACUAUUGAAAAGUUACAAAUUAACAAAUUCAUAUACUUUGAAAUUGCUGAUUUGAUGUGGUACACUGUGGUGAUGUAGAAAAAUUGAUUAAAAAGCAACAGUCAUUGACAGAUCCUAUCCUAUAUUAUGAAUAUGCAGAGGAAAUAUACAGCAUUAUAAUGAGAGCACAUUUGAAUACUGGACAUGGUGGAAGAGAUAAAAUGGAGACCCGCGUAACCUUAUGGCUGUUGUUACUGGAAAGGAAGCGCAUGGUUAUAAACUUGGAAUUUAAGAUGGAAUAGUACGUGGACACCAGGAGUCAGUUUGAACUAUCUGACAGUAACUUUAUUGCUAUUCAAUGUGUAAAUUAUGAUAAUGAAAUAUCCUUUAGAAAAGCUGUCAGUAAAGUUUCUUUGUGUGAUGGUCAAACUUACACAAAAUGUGGCUGUAGUGCUAGAUGUAACACUAAACGUUGUCUUUGCAAAAAGUCAGGACAAAUGUGUAACAGUCGCU